Molecule: unclassified non-coding RNA, 368 nt
Filed under: fungal sp.
Lineage: Eukaryota; Fungi
Description: partial internal transcribed spacer region
Source: RNAcentral
AAGUCGUAACAAGGUUUCCGAGGUGAACCCGGAAGGAUCAUUAACACGUAUCCAACGUUAACAACCCCCUUGAACUUUCAGCUUGCUCCUGUAGCCCGUGAAAACAGCAAUCCCUGGUAAAUCAUUGUUGACAGCUUUUGAGUCAGGGCGAUUGUGAUAUUUUAUAGCUACGGUUGAGCGAUUGCAUCGGCAUCCCCAAGUAAUCAGUGUCUGAAAGUGUCGAUUAUGUAAGGAUGGUGCAGUCACGAUCGCUGUAGAGGCCCACACGGCCGACCGGUCACCGGGCUCUGCCCCUUUACGACAACACCGCGCGUGAAAUUCGCACGGCACCAAAAACCGAACAACUGUUAACAAUGGAUCUUGGUUCU